This 137-nucleotide unclassified non-coding RNA is filed under the name uncultured Sordariomycetes. RNAcentral's name for it is "sequence contains ITS1". Lineage: Eukaryota; Fungi; Ascomycota; Sordariomycetes. The record is from RNAcentral.
CAGAGUUGCAAAACUCCCAACCCUUUGUGAACGUACCUAGCAGUUGCUUCGGCGGAAGGCUCUCUAGGGAGCGGCCCGCCGAAGGCUUACAAACUCUUGUUUUUUUGGCAUCUCUGAGUAGCUUAUAAAAUAAGUUA